This is a long non-coding RNA of Armigeres subalbatus, 570 nucleotides long. RefSeq lists it as uncharacterized. The transcript is spliced from 2 exons. The record is from RefSeq and is a predicted model, not a curated record. NCBI's taxonomy places the organism in Eukaryota, Metazoa, Arthropoda, Insecta, Diptera, Culicidae.
GUUCCGAAAUUUCACGAUCACUCGACGAAAUCGGGUGCCUAUCAAACCGACCUAUUUCUACACCGACGACGUCGAUUGUCGUAGGCUACAUAUUUUCGUCACCAGAUUUAUUGAACGAUUAAGUCGCGAGCAAUCCAUUGCCUAUUUCAUCGGUAAAAUAAUCGAUGGAUUGUGUAUUUGGUGCUUAUUUCGGACGUAUGAUUAAUGGGCAGACUAAAUCGGGUCCUUGUGUUUAAAAACAUGAAAUGAUGGAGAGUGAGUUUUUAAUAUUUAGUUAAUUAUUGCAACUUUAUUAGUGAGAUUUUUAGGUCGAGUUACAUUUCGGAACAUCCCGGAAGACUGAUGUUCCCAAAAUUAGCGGUUAAACGAGCAUCAUGAAGAUUAGAGGCAAUCCCGCUCGAUCCCAGGGUUUGCGGAAGUAUGGGCAUUCCUGCCACCCAUGCCACCCGUUUAAAUAAAUCAACCAAACCACCUAUUUCGUCUAAUUCCAUUAUUUUCUACACCGAUCAAUGUACAGAUUUAGUUUGAUCUGAUCCAUGAGGAAAUAUAAUAAACCGAUUUAACACCCUA